This 496-nucleotide ribosomal RNA is filed under the name uncultured bacterium. RNAcentral describes it as "SSU rRNA". It matches the Rfam family "Bacterial small subunit ribosomal RNA", at positions 26 to 521 of the family's 1533-position model. The record is from RNAcentral.
AGGACGAACGCUGGCGGCGUGCUUAACACAUGCAAGUGGAGCGACGAACCAGGGCUUGCCCUGGGGCAGAGCCGCGAACGGGUGAGUAACACGUGGGUAACCCACCCCGAUGACCGGGACAACCCGAGGAAACUCGGGCUAAUACCGGAUGUUCUCACUUCCUCUGAGGGAAGUGAGCAAAGAUAGCUUCGGCCUUCGCAUCGGGACGGGCCCGCGGCCCAUUAGCUUGUUGGUGAGGUAACGGCUUACCAAGGCGACGAUGGGUAGCUGGUCUGAGAGGACGAUCAGCCACACUGGGACUGAGACACGGCCCAGACUCCUACGGGAGGCAGCAGUGGGGAAUCUUGCGCAAUGCGCGAAAGCGUGACGCAGCAACGCCGCGUGGGGAGAAGGCCUCGGUGUAAACCCUUCAGUUGGACGAGCUUCGAGGUUAAUAGCCUCUGGAGUGACGGUACCUUCAGAAGAAGCCCGGCUACUACGUGCCAGCAGCCGCGGU